Molecule: transfer RNA, 84 nt
Filed under: Gemmatimonadaceae bacterium
Lineage: Bacteria; Pseudomonadati; Gemmatimonadota; Gemmatimonadia; Gemmatimonadales; Gemmatimonadaceae
Also listed under: 1 other name
Description: tRNA-Leu
Rfam family: tRNA
About the family: Transfer RNA (tRNA) molecules are approximately 80 nucleotides in length. Their secondary structure includes four short double-helical elements and three loops (D, anti-codon, and T loops).
Source: RNAcentral
GCCCGGAUGGCGGAACCGGCAGACGCAGGGGACUCAAAAUCCCCCGAGGGCAACCUCAUGUGGGUUCGAUUCCCACUCCGGGCA